AUGGUGGUCGGAGGCCAUGCAACAAUCUCCGCCGCCCUGCACAAGGGUUUGGCAUCCAUCAUCAUUCUCAUGGCUCGGGAGACUUGGAAGCAUCGGAAUGCUGCCAUCUUCGAUGGUGCACGACCCUCUAUUGCCGUACUUGCCAAAUUCAUCAAUGAUGAGGCAAGACAUUGGGCUGCUGCCGUCGCUAAAGGGAUAGGAUGCAUGUAA
Molecule: ribosomal RNA, 210 nt
Filed under: Triticum aestivum (bread wheat)
Lineage: Eukaryota; Viridiplantae; Streptophyta; Magnoliopsida; Poales; Poaceae
Description: partial small subunit ribosomal RNA
Source: RNAcentral